RNAcentral lists this ribosomal RNA (272 nucleotides) under uncultured bacterium. Its description in RNAcentral is "partial 16S ribosomal RNA". It matches the Rfam family "Bacterial small subunit ribosomal RNA", at positions 84 to 354 of the family's 1533-position model. The record is from RNAcentral.
CCCGCCGGCGACCGGCGCACGGGUGAGUAACACGUAUGCAACCUGGCCGCCACAGGGGGAUAACCCGCGGAAACGCGGCCUAAUACCCCGUGACGCCACCGGAGGGCAUCCUCCGGUGGCCAAAGGAGCGAUCCGGUGGCGGAUGGGCAUGCGGCGCAUUAGCUAGACGGCGGGGUGACGGCCCACCGUGGCGACGAUGCGUAGGGGUUCUGAGAGGAAGGCCCCCCACACUGGGACUGAGACACGGACCAGACUCCUACGGGAGGCAGCAG